Molecule: long non-coding RNA, 278 nt
Filed under: Arachis ipaensis
Lineage: Eukaryota; Viridiplantae; Streptophyta; Magnoliopsida; Fabales; Fabaceae
Description: long non-coding RNA (AIPA_LNC001682)
Source: RNAcentral
GUCGUCGGUGCUUCUCCCCUCCUCGCCCUGCUCCUCAUCGUUUCUGGCCGUCACCUCUUCUCUGCUUCCGUCAGUCUUCUCGUUGCUGCCUGUUUUCUCCGCACCGUGUCUCGUCGCCGUUGCAGACGUUGCUUCUCCUUGCCGUCGUCGCCUCUCAAAGAUCUGCUUGGAGCUGUUGACGUCGCAGUCUCUGUCGUCGUUGUCCUCGAGCCCUCUUUCUCCUUCUCUUUCUGUCCGAGCUGAAUUUUUUUCCUCCUUGCCGUCACGUCCGUUCCUCC